GGUGGCUCAGUGGUAGAGCACUUGUUUCGCACACAUGAGGCCCUGGGUUUGAUUCCUCAGCACCA
RNAcentral lists this transfer RNA (65 nucleotides) under Dipodomys ordii (Ord's kangaroo rat). It matches the Rfam family "tRNA". Rfam says of the family: Transfer RNA (tRNA) molecules are approximately 80 nucleotides in length. Their secondary structure includes four short double-helical elements and three loops (D, anti-codon, and T loops). Lineage: Eukaryota; Metazoa; Chordata; Mammalia; Rodentia; Heteromyidae. The record is from Rfam by way of RNAcentral.